UUACUGAGUUUACGCUCUACAACCCUUUGUGAACAUACCUAUAACUGUUGCUUCGGCGGGUAGGGUCUCCGCGACCCUCCCGGCCUCCCGCCUCCGGGCGGGUCGGCGCCCGCCGGAGGAUAACCAAACUCUGAUUUAACGACGUUUCUUCUGAGUGGUACAAGCAAAUAAUCAAAACUUUUAACAACGGAUCUCUUGGUUCUGGCAUCGAUGAAGAACGCAGCGAAAUGCGAUAAGUAAUGUGAAUUGCAGAAUUCAGUGAAUCAUCGAAUCUUUGAACGCACAUUGCGCCCGCCAGCAUUCUGGCGGGCAUGCCUGUUCGAGCGUCAUUUCAACCCUCAAGCUCUGCUUGGUGUUGGGGCCCUACAGCUGAUGUAGGCCCUCAAAGGUAGUGGCGGACCCUCCCGGAGCCUCCUUUGCGUAGUAACUUUACGUCUCGCACUGGGAUCCGGAGGGACUCUUGCCGUAAAACCCCCAAUUUUCCAAAGGUUGACCUCGGAUCAGGUAGGAAUACCCGCUGAACUUAAGCAUAUCAAUAAGCGGAGGAAAAGAAACCAACAGGGAUUGCCUCAGUAACGGCGAGUGAAGCGGCAACAGCUCAAAUUUGAAAUCUGGCCCUAGGCCCGAGUUGUAAUUUGCAGAGGAUGCUUUUGGUGCGGUGCCUUCCAAGUUCCCUAGAACGGGACGCCAGAGAGGGUGAGAGCCCCGUACAGUUGGACACCAAGCCUUUGUAAAGCUCCUUCGACGAGUCGAGUAGUUUGGGAAUGCUGCUCAAAAUGGGAGGUAUAUUUCUUCUAAAGCUAAAUACCGGCCAGAGACCGAUAGCGCACAAGUAGAGUGAUCGAAAGAUGAAAAGCACUUUGAAAAGAGGGUUAAACAGCACGUGAAAUUGUUAAAAGGGAAGCGCUUGUGACCAGACUUGCGUCCGGUGAAUCACCCAGCUCUCGCGGCUGGGGCACUUCGCCGGCUCAGGCCAGCAUCAGCUCGCUGUCGGGGACAAAAGCUUCAGGAACGUAGCUCCCUUCGGGGAGUGUUAUAGCCUGUUGCAUAAUACCCUUCGGCGGGCUGA
RNAcentral lists this unclassified non-coding RNA (1069 nucleotides) under leaf metagenome. Its description in RNAcentral is "partial contains internal transcribed spacer 1, 5.8S ribosomal RNA, internal transcribed spacer 2, and large subunit ribosomal RNA". The stretch from base 491 to 1069 matches the Rfam family "Eukaryotic large subunit ribosomal RNA", at positions 1 to 591 of the family's 3401-position model. The record is from RNAcentral.